UGCCCUUUGUACACCUUCUCGUGGCCCUGCUCUGUCUCCUGGAAAAGGGGACCCGAGGAGAGCCAUAAAAAUAACCUUUCGAUAUUCGCUUUUAUGGCUAUUUACACCCGGCUCGGCGCUAGAGGAAGCUCUGACGCUUCAUUCAUUAGUCAACCCCACAGCCUCGGGUUUUUGAUGCUCGCUUUAU
Long non-coding RNA from Monodelphis domestica (gray short-tailed opossum), 187 nucleotides. It matches the Rfam family "HOXA transcript at the distal tip, conserved region 4". The record is from Rfam. Lineage: Eukaryota; Metazoa; Chordata; Mammalia; Didelphimorphia; Didelphidae.